GAUGAACGCUGGCGGCGUGCCUAAUACAUGCAAGUCGAGCGAACAGAUAAGGAGCUUGCUCCUUUGACGUUAGCGGCGGACGGGUGAGUAACACGUGGGUAACCUACCUAUAAGACUGGGAUAACUUCGGGAAACCGGAGCUAAUACCGGAUAAUAUUUCGAACCGCAUGGUUCGAUAGUGAAAGAUGGUUUUGCUAUCACUUAUAGAUGGACCCGCGCCGUAUUAGCUAGUUGGUAAGGUAACGGCUUACCAAGGCGACGAUACGUAGCCGACCUGAGAGGGUGAGCGGCCACACUGGAACUGAGACACGGUCCAGACUCCUACGGGAGGCAGCAGUAGGGAAUCUUCCGCAAAGGGCGAAAGCCUGACGGAGCAACGCCGCGUGAGUGAUGAAGGUCUUCGGAUCGUAAAACUCUGUUAUUAGGGAAGAACAUACGUGUAAGUAACUGUGCACGUCUUGACGGUACCUAAUCAGAAAGCCACGGCUAACUACGUG
Molecule: ribosomal RNA, 497 nt
Filed under: uncultured bacterium
Lineage: Bacteria
Description: partial 16S ribosomal RNA
Rfam family: Bacterial small subunit ribosomal RNA
Source: RNAcentral